AACCCCGCACCAGUGAGAAUGCCCUUAACAUCAACCCAGAUCAAGAGGAGCAGACAUUAAGUACACUUCCCAGUAGCUCAAAAUGUCUUGCUCAACCACACCCCCAAGGGAUACAGCAGUGAUAAAAAUUUAGCAAUCAACGUAAGUUUGACUAAGUUAUACUACUUCAGGGUUGGUAAAUCUCGUGCCAGCCACCGCGGUCAUACGAUUAACCCAAAUUAAUAAACACCCGGCGUAAAGCGUGAUUAGAAACAAAACACAAAUAAAAUCAAAUAACAACUAAGCUGUAAAAAGUAAUAGUUGUAAACAAAAAUAAACUACGAAAGUGAUUUUAUAACAUUCGAACUCACGAUAGCUAAGACCCAAACUGGGAUUAGAUACCCCACUAUGCUUAGCCCUAAACCUAAAUAAUUUAUAACAAAAUUGUUCGCCAGAGAAGUACAAGCCAGAGCUUAAAACUCAAAGGACUUGGCGGUGCUUUACACCCACCUAGAGGAGCCUGUUCUAUAAUCGAUAAACCCCGAUAAACCUUACCACUCUUUGCCAAUUCAGCCUAUAUACCGCCAUCUUCAGCGAACCCUAAAAAGGAACAAAAGUAAGCUUAAUUAUUCUCAUAAAAACGUUAGGUCAAGGUGUAGCCUAUAGAGUGGAAAGUAAUGGGCUACAUUUUCUAUAUUAGAACAUACGAAAGCCCUUAUGAAAUCUUAGGGCCAAAGGAGGAUUU
Molecule: ribosomal RNA, 724 nt
Filed under: Romerolagus diazi (volcano rabbit)
Lineage: Eukaryota; Metazoa; Chordata; Mammalia; Lagomorpha; Leporidae
Description: partial 12S ribosomal RNA
Rfam family: Bacterial small subunit ribosomal RNA
Source: RNAcentral